ACAGUUCUACUGGCUGGCUUUGCCGGCUGUAGACUGAAUAAUUAAAGACAACUCUCAACAACGGAUAUCUUGGCUCCCGUAACGAUGAAGAACGCAGCGAAAUGCGAUACGUAGUGUGAAUUGCAGAAUUCCGUGAACCAUCGAAUCUUUGAACGCAAAUUGCGCUCGAGGCCUCGGCCAAGAGCAUGUCUGCCUCAGCGUCG
RNAcentral lists this ribosomal RNA (203 nucleotides) under Trebouxia jamesii. Its description in RNAcentral is "5.8S ribosomal RNA". The stretch from base 50 to 203 matches the Rfam family "5.8S ribosomal RNA". From Rfam's summary of the family: 5.8S ribosomal RNA (5.8S rRNA) is a component of the large subunit of the eukaryotic ribosome. The record is from RNAcentral. Lineage: Eukaryota; Viridiplantae; Chlorophyta; Trebouxiophyceae; Trebouxiales; Trebouxiaceae.